This 90-nucleotide transfer RNA is filed under the name Alphaproteobacteria bacterium. Its description in RNAcentral is "tRNA-Ser". It matches the Rfam family "tRNA". From Rfam's summary of the family: Transfer RNA (tRNA) molecules are approximately 80 nucleotides in length. Their secondary structure includes four short double-helical elements and three loops (D, anti-codon, and T loops). Further hydrogen bonds mediate the characteristic L-shaped molecular structure. tRNAs have two regions of fundamental functional importance: the anti-codon, which is responsible for specific mRNA codon recognition, and the 3' end, to which the tRNAs corresponding amino acid is attached (by aminoacyl-tRNA synthetases). tRNAs cope with the degeneracy of the genetic code in two manners: having more than one tRNA (with a specific anti-codon) for a particular amino acid; and 'wobble' base-pairing, i.e. permitting non-standard base-pairing at the 3rd anti-codon position. Lineage: Bacteria; Pseudomonadati; Pseudomonadota; Alphaproteobacteria. The record is from RNAcentral.
GGACGGGUGGCAGAGCGGCUGAAUGCACCGCACUCGAAAUGCGGCAUACUCGUUAGGGUAUCGGGAGUUCAAAUCUCCCCCCGUCCGCCA